CCCUGAAAGAGCACGAUCGGCGGUUACGCACGAGGACGAAUGGAACGCGACGCGGUGAGCGCACAAACCGCCGCUGUCCCAGCAGGCGAGCAGCCGCGAUCCGUCGAUGUAGUCUGUGACGAGGGUGCGCUGGUGCGCCCCGUCUGUGCAAGGCGUCACAUGCGUGCGCUUGAGAUGCGCGCCCCAAUGGUCGUCGCCCUUGUGGGUAUUGUCGCCGGCGUCAGCGGGGAUCAUGACGCCGCCGAGGCAAAAGACCACUUUGGCGUCGUCUUCGACAAAGCACCGGCCAUCGGCGGUCACAAGCAUGCCCUGUCCACGCGGUUUGCCAUUGUGCCACGUGGCUUCAACGCGCUGGCCGUUGGGCCACGUGUGCACGCCCCAACCAUGAGGUUUUCCGUCGCGCCAUAGGCCGCGAUGGGAUCGCCCGUCGGGCAGGGUCAUGGUGCCCUCGCCGUGUCUCUUUGAGUACCACUGACCUCGGUAGCGGCGACCGUCGGGGUACUCUUCCACGCCGACGCCUUUGCGAUUGCCGUGUUCGUAUGCGCCGCGAUACACACGCCCGUCGUUGUGAAAGAAUGUGCCGUUGCCAUGAUACGAGUCGUUGGCAAAGUCGCCCUCGUAUCGGCUGCCGCUCGGCUUGUACUGAAACACGCGGCCGUGUCUGGUGUCGUUCACCCAUUGGCCCUCGGAACGCGUCCCGAGGCGGUCGCGAGGGAGGUCAAACGCGGCGCGCGGGUCGACGGCGUCAUCGGCGCCUGAAAGGGUGACGCGCACGCGCACCCCGUACCCGUGCGGCACGCCCCGGCGCAAUUCGCCACAAAAGUAAUGGUUCUUUGGCUUUACGGUGGCGCAGCCUAUGCUUGUCGGCGCCGAGGGGUCGGCCCGCGUCGCACGCGCCCGAUAGAGCCAACGCCAGUCCUUGCCAAACUCGGAAAAGUGAUCGUGGAUCGGUUGCCCGUACCGCUGCUCGUAGAGACGACGCCACAGCGCAUCGUCACGGCACAGGCGUUCGAGCCCGCGCGCCGUCUGGGCCGCACAGGCCAGCGCGACCGGGUCCGACAGAGCCCCGAGGAGCGUGAGCAGCAGUUCGUCGGGCAGCGCAAGCAGAUGCCUGUCCAUAAACUCGACUAUUUCGCUUGUCGGAUGUGUGGCUGCAUCCUGUUGAUGCUCUUGACGCGGGCGGUCGUGUACGGCAGCAAACGAUUUGUCGAAAGACAUGGUCGGCGUACAGUGAUAAACUGCAACAACAACAACGACAGCAACAGUGGCAGAGGCCCCCGAGUCUCCUUCUUUUUUUGUUGGCGCCGCCGUGGCGCUGUUUGUCGUGGCGUGAAAAGAAAACGAAAAAAAAGAUAAAGCCACUGGGGAGUGGGCGAG
This 1377-nucleotide long non-coding RNA is filed under the name Pandoravirus neocaledonia. RNAcentral describes it as "hypothetical ncRNA". The record is from RNAcentral.